GUAGUUAAAUCGUGUGCUCGUCGAGGGUUUGGGAAAAGAGGUGCUGAAGUCGACGGAAACAUUUCAAGAAAAGUUGAUGGAAACAUUGGAUAAAGAAGAUGCUCCUAUGUCAGCGAAAGUGGUACGCUUAUGUUUUUAAUAUA
This is a long non-coding RNA of Cydia pomonella (codling moth), 143 nucleotides long. RefSeq lists it as uncharacterized. The record is from RefSeq and is a predicted model, not a curated record. Lineage: Eukaryota; Metazoa; Arthropoda; Insecta; Lepidoptera; Tortricidae. The transcript is spliced from 3 exons.